Molecule: long non-coding RNA, 2348 nt
Organism: Cyprinus carpio carpio
Lineage: Eukaryota; Metazoa; Chordata; Actinopteri; Cypriniformes; Cyprinidae
Source: Ensembl
GGAUGCUUUUGUUACAGCACAUGGCGAGAAGAAGACGGGCUGUCAUCUCCAGCGAAGCAUCCUCCGAAGCGCAUCAGCAAAGACACGUGUUCACAAAACCAUUGUGAGAAGCGUUGACAUCAUCCGCUGGUGGUGUAUUUGUAACUACAGGAACAAUGCUGAGGAACCAGCAUCCGCUCAGCAGCUCUCUCAGCCCCACCCAGCAGCACUCAGCAUCUCUGCAGUACUUCUUCCUCAAAGAUAGAGAGAGAGAGGGAGACGGAGCGGGAGAGCGAGUAGGAAGUGGGAAGUCACCUCCGUCACUCCAUUAUCAGCAUUCCACAUCUGCUGAGGAACAUUUUCAUUUAAACAUCUGAAUAGAAGGAAAAAAGUACCAUCUAUUAAAUGAACAUCUCGUCAUCUGCCUGACCAGCUAUUUCAGGUCUCUCCAUUAGCGAGACACAACGAAUCCAUCUGACGUCCAAACUGUCAUAUCCCCGAGCCUAUAAAGAUCCCUAUAACAUGCUCAACAAUCCAAAAAAUGGAGACAAUUGAUUUUCGCCUGCCAAGAAUGAUCGUAAUAAAGUUUUACAAGCAUGACGAAUCCCCGAGGUUAUGAUCUAUGCACAUUCUCAAAGGAAAAAGAUUUCUCUCUCUCCAUCGAAUUAUCUUUAGACAAAUGGUGGCGACAGUAUAAUUGGACAUUAGUCUUAAUUCGCAUGUUACAGGAGCUGAAUUGAAUGCUCGCUCCUCUUGGCUGGACACCAAGCUCUUUUUCUCCGCACGCCGCGUUCGGUUUUUCUAAUUGUGCUUGGUGAAAGGCGGCCAUCCUAAACUGAAGAGCAUAAUUUAACUGGCCUUAAUAAAGGAUUACUAUUCAGCGUAGAGCCUAUUAUUUUCCAGCUAGACUCCCGACCGGAGAUAAAUAGGAACGGUACUCUCACCUUUUUUUUCUUUCUCUCACUUGCUUCCACUUCUCUGGAAUCUUAAGUAAAUGUAUAAGUGCAUGCGGAAACGGAUUUAGCUACUUAAAGAAAAUGAGAGGGGACCGAAGCAAAAAAGGACGCCUCGACUUUAUUCAGACGUACUGAGGAGCCUAUUAUGGCUUAUAUGUUUUUUUAAUGGGAAAAACCAUAGUUGAUCCGAGCUAAUUUCCCUUGUGCAGCUUGGGCUCUGAAAGUAAUCCAUCACCUCAGUAUGAGGUGGUGGCGGCGAGAAGCCACGUCUCUAAUGAAGCUCUCCUUCAGAGGGCUAAAGAAUCGCGCUGUCAGUCUCCGCUCAAUGCCACCCCCGACACAAUGGCCUCCCGAUUGUUGCUUUCUCUUUGUAUGUGUUAACCCAAGCAGGGCCUUAUACAAAAUGAAUGGGCUGAUGUAACCUUAGCUUUGACGGUCCCCUGCCAUCCCGAAACACCUGUCAGUCACGCUUUUGUUGUCGGCGCAGGUGAGUUUGACGUUGCGCGCCGUACAUAUUUCUGAAUCUUGCGGUUUGUGUUACGUCGUGCCAGGCGCUCCGUGACCAAGGAGGGUUUUCAGCUAGAUUUUGUUGUUGUUUUUGUUGUAGAGUCCUCCGCCCUCUGGACUGAAAGGAAAUAAGAGUGCUUCUUUCAGAGAGAAGGGGGCACAAUCCAGUCGUUCGUGUCUUCCAAGGAAGGUAGAACUAAAUGCACUCAGCUGUCCUUUUUCAAAUGUCACUAUCAAAGGUCUAGGAUGUGUGUGUGUGUGGAGAGGUUUUUAGCAGAAUGAUGUGCAAGCUAUAAGAAAAGGCCAGCUCGCUGCACCUUUCCUGCCUCGCCUUUGCUGUCGCUCUCUCUUCCGUGCAUUGAUCUGUCACUUAAAACUGAUCACUUCAUUAUCUCCCGAACGGCGAGUGUUACAUGGGAGUCGUGAGCAUGCUUAACCGAGUGCUUUCUUGUUUAUGACAGGCUUUUACACCCAAGGGUAAUGGCCUCGGUGGCUAAUGGUAAUUCAUGGAACGCAGGACUGAUGGGAAUGGAGUUUAAUGCUUGGAAACACUAAGUGUCCUAACUGUGGGACGAGUUUUGAACAGAAUGUUUGGUUUUAAAUGAUUUUGGACCAAUGAGAUUUUGUGGGCGGGGUUAUGCAGCACCGGCGCUCAGAUUUACAUGGUUGCACUAAAUAAAAUUAAAUAAAAUUGCAUAAAAUAGUAGAGUCAGUAGAGAUAGUAGUAGAGAAUAGUAGAAUUAAAAUUAUGUGUGGGGUCAAAAAUUAACAGCAAAUGCAAAAAAAGCUAAAUGCUUUAGCGCUUUAGCAAAUUUUUCAAAUCUAAUUUAAAUGACCGACUCUCAUGCCUUCAAACUACUUUGACUAGGUGGAAAAUUUCUUGCAUUUAGCUAAGCAUUAACAAAC